UGGACAACGCCCCGUCGACAUCAGGCAUCCUGCAAGCCUCCCCUGAGAUGUGAAAAGCAUGAAGGACGCAAUACGCGGGAGAUGAAAUAUUUCGGCAGUUACAAGCCCACAGCUCCAGAUCCUAAGUCCAGAUGUUUCAGAAGACAAAGACCAAGCUUCAGGAAAAGGAAGCCACCAAGAGGCUGUGGGGACAGGCGGGGUGAAAGUGCUUGCAGUUCCUUAUACUGCAUCUAAACGGACAGCUGCAGAGUAAAACGCUGGGUACCUGGUAUGUUGGGACGUUGAUGGCUUUCCAAGGCUGCGAAGUGAGUGAACACGAGAGUCUGCUGUGAUCUUGCAGAACUUAUUCAGAAUCCAGAACAAACACUUUAUUUUGUUUUCCUUCCAUCGUCUGCUUUCUUCCAAAAUUCCGUUGCAGAAUGAACUUUUUAAGAGCCAAGGAUAAUGGUGAAUAUACCAUGGUGAACACACUUGAAUAUUUAACUUGUCACCUAGUAUAGAUUCCUAUCCCCAUCUAAUAUCUAAUACAAUGUCCGUUAAAAUUGCUGGAUUUUGAAUCUUAUCUCCUGAUAAUCAGGCAAGUCUUCAUCAUCUUGAGUCGAAGAUAACCCCACCAAGUGCAGACCGA
This is a long non-coding RNA of Zalophus californianus (California sea lion), 628 nucleotides long. RefSeq lists it as uncharacterized. The record is from RefSeq and is a predicted model, not a curated record. Lineage: Eukaryota; Metazoa; Chordata; Mammalia; Carnivora; Otariidae. The transcript is spliced from 3 exons.